RNAcentral lists this ribosomal RNA (433 nucleotides) under uncultured bacterium. Its description in RNAcentral is "partial 16S ribosomal RNA". It matches the Rfam family "Bacterial small subunit ribosomal RNA", at positions 29 to 507 of the family's 1533-position model. The record is from RNAcentral.
AACGAACGCUGGCGGCAUGCCUAACACGUGCAAGUCGAACGAGACCUUCGGGCUUAGUGGCGCACGGGUGCGUAACGCGUGGGAACCUGCCCUUAGGUUCGGAAUAACUCCCCGAAAGGGGUGCUAAUACCGGAUAAUGUCUUCGGACCAAAGAUUUAUCGCCUUUGGAUGGGCCUGCGUUGGAUUAGCUAGUUGGUAGGGUAAAAGCCUGCCAAGGCGACGUUCCAUAGCUGGUUUGAGAGGAAGAUCCGCCACACUGGGCCUGAGACACGGCCCAGACUCCUACGGGAGGCAGCAGUGGGGAAUAUUGGACAAUGGGCGAAGGCCUGAUCCAGCACUGCCGCGUGAGUGAUGAAGGCCGUAGGGUUGUGAAGCUCUUUGACCCGGGGUGAUAAUGACAGUACCGGGAGAAUAAGCACCGGCUAACUCCGUG